CAGCCGCCGCGGUAAUACGAAGGGGGCUAGCGUUGUUCGGAUUUACUGGGCGUAAAGCGCACGUAGGCGGACUUUUAAGUCAGGGGUGAAAUCCCGGGGCUCAACCCCGGAACUGCCUUUGAUACUGGGAGUCUUGAGUUCGAGAGAGGUGAGUGGAAUUGCGAGUGUAGAGGUGAAAUUCGUAGAUAUUCGCAGGAACACCAGUGGCGAAGGCGGCUCACUGGCUCGAUACUGACGCUGAGGUGCGAAAGCGUGGGGAGCAAACAGGAUUAGAUACCCCCGUAGCCCUGUCUCUUAUACA
RNAcentral lists this ribosomal RNA (301 nucleotides) under uncultured bacterium. RNAcentral describes it as "partial 16S ribosomal RNA". It matches the Rfam family "Bacterial small subunit ribosomal RNA", at positions 509 to 809 of the family's 1533-position model. The record is from RNAcentral.